Daldinia loculata is the source of this 160-nucleotide non-coding RNA. NCBI's taxonomy places the organism in Eukaryota, Fungi, Ascomycota, Sordariomycetes, Xylariales, Hypoxylaceae. The record is from the annotation of a RefSeq genome assembly.
GCCCGGUUAGCUCAAUCGGUAGAGCGUGAGACUCUUAAGAUUCUCGUGGAAACGAGAGGAAAGAAAUCUCAAGGUUGCGGGUAAGUCUAGAUAUAAAAAAUCUUAGGAUGGUCAUCCUCGUACUAACCCACUUCGAUAGGUUCGACACCCGCAUCGGGCU